GGUUUUGAUUUGUAUUUCCCUGAUAAAAAUAAUCGGUAUACAGAGAAGAUUAGCAUGGCCCCUGCGCAAGGAUGAUACGCAAAUUCGUGAAGCGUUCCAUAAAAAA
Molecule: small nuclear RNA, 106 nt
Filed under: Panthera leo (lion)
Lineage: Eukaryota; Metazoa; Chordata; Mammalia; Carnivora; Felidae
Source: RNAcentral